This 253-nucleotide ribosomal RNA is filed under the name uncultured bacterium. RNAcentral's name for it is "partial 16S ribosomal RNA". It matches the Rfam family "Bacterial small subunit ribosomal RNA", at positions 524 to 776 of the family's 1533-position model. The record is from RNAcentral.
UACGUAGGGUGCAAGCGUUAAUCGGAAUUACUGGGCGUAAAGCGUGCGCAGGCGGUUUGGGCAGGAAGAUGUGAAAUCCCCGGGCUCAACCUGGGAACUGCAUUUGUGACUGCACAGCUUGAGUGCGGCAGAGGGGGAUGGAAUUCCGCGUGUAGCAGUGAAAUGCGUAGAUAUGCGGAGGAACACCGAUGGCGAAGGCAAUCCCCUGGGCCUGCACUGACGCUCAUGCACGAAAGCGUGGGGAGCAAACAGG